Anoplophora glabripennis (Asian longhorned beetle) is the source of this 971-nucleotide long non-coding RNA. RefSeq lists it as uncharacterized. The transcript is spliced from 3 exons. Lineage: Eukaryota; Metazoa; Arthropoda; Insecta; Coleoptera; Cerambycidae. The record is from RefSeq and is a predicted model, not a curated record.
CAAUUCUACUUCAAUGAGUCACUUAAAUCAUACUCAAAUUGUCCUCACAAAUGAGUACUGGGUGAGUGACAUAUUAGUGAUGUUUGACAUUUGCUUAAAUGUCCCUAAUUUAUUAAUUUUGUGGUUUCAUAAUAGUAUAGCAGUAUAUUUUACAAACAAUUAAGUCAAGGUAUUCAAUAAAGGAUAUUCUAUACGUGAACGAUAUAUAAAUUAUAAUUAUUUUUUUAAAAAUUAGUUCUGUUACAUACAUACAUAUCCUGUAAGAUGGAAGACGAUUUUUGGGAAUUUUUCAAUUAUGUUGAAGAUGUUGAUGGUUUUUUACCUGUACCUAGAAUUUUAUUGAGAGAUAAUUCUAAUACUUUUGAAAGGUACACUAACAGUGAAUUGAUACAACGUAUUAGAUUCUCAAGAGAUACUAUAGAAACUACAGUACUUCCAAUGGUUUAUCAUAACAUUAGAGAUGGUGAUAAUCGUGGACUACCAGUUCCCCUGCAUUAAAGUUGUAUGUGACAUUGCGGUUUUUUGCAACAGGGUCUUAUCAGCAAGUUUAUGCUGAUGUAGCCACAAUCAGUCAGUCCUCGGUCUGCAGAAUUGUCCGAGAAAUUAGCGAGGAACUUGCAAGAAGUUUACCAAGACUAAUUAAAUUUCCAGCCCACACGGAAAUAUUGAAACGACAAUUUUUUGAAAUUGCGAGGUUUCCUAGAUAAUUAAUUAGACUUUAAUGUGAUCUUGAUUAUUUAUUAUUUAAAUGUAACUUAUUAUGUACCUAUAUAUUUUCAACAUUCAAAUUCAAAAUAAAGAAAAAUGUGACAUUAGGUUUUCAUUGAUGUCAUUAUAUUUUUGGUAAUAUUUGAGUAGCCAACUGUUCCCUUAUCUAGUAAUUUGUGGUUUGAUGCACACUUAAGUUAGUCACUCAUUUAGACACAUUUCUGAAUAUCAGAAUUGAGAAUGAGAUGAGGGCACCCUAAGUU